This 1134-nucleotide long non-coding RNA is filed under the name Sus scrofa (pig). RNAcentral's name for it is "lncRNA (ENSSSCG00050041071.1)". The record is from RNAcentral. Lineage: Eukaryota; Metazoa; Chordata; Mammalia; Artiodactyla; Suidae.
CCCUAACCGUCGCAAACCACCAGCUCGCUGCUGUGACUUCGCUACUUCCUGGAGUCCCAGGCUCCGUGUGCGGUGAGGGUCCACCCAGAGCCUCGGGACGUGACCUGACUUGAGAGGAGAGCUCUGCAGCGAGAGACGGUGCUUAUGCGGGGAGGCCGGACUCCGACGGCAGGACCCGCACUCGUCGGGUGGGUUCCUCCAGCCUCUGCCGGUGACACCAUCCCUACCAGGUCCCUGGCACAACGGGGUUGCCAUGGCUCAGCACCCAGGAACUGACGUUCUCUUGACGAUUUCUGGGAAUCCUGGGCGACGGCCUCCUUGUCUCGGGAGCCAGCCUGGGACCCCCUGGCUGGCGUGGAUGGUCGGACCCCUCUGCCUCUCCCAACAUAAACUCGUGGGUCUCGGUUCAGAAACCCGGCUCUCGCCCACUCCCGGCACCAGGUUUGGGGUCCCUGGGGCCAGAGGCCAUCUGAGGAUGCAGAGGAGCGAGGCCUGGAGCCCCAGGGCCGAGACAUGCUGCUGGACCGGCAGCUCCUGCGGAAGCGCAGCAGCCAGACCCCGGGAAACACCAGGGGUGAGACCCCCCAUUGGAGGCCUGCAGAGCUGAGCCUUCAUCCAAAACCCUGGGGUCCCUCUCCGUCGGCCACAGUGAAUCUUGGGCCAACCUCCCAGCCCCGUGGGCGCGUCACCAUCGCCAGGGCAGCGGCUGGAGAGGCGAGCUGAGGGGCUGACUUCCACCCGACGGCUGAUGAGGUGAGGCUGAGCCCCAGGCUGGGGCCUGGAGCAAGACCCAAGCAGCAGGGGAGGUACAGAGGCACCCGUCUCCCUGGCGUGUGUGCGUGUGCAUGCGUGUGCGUGCGCGUGCGUGGUGUGUGUGUGGAGAACCAAUUUGCAUUGUCUCUGCGCACGUGCGAUAAGAGUUUUCCGACACAAAAGGUGUCAGUAAAAUUAACUGAUUUCAUUUUGAACCUUCCCCCCAGCCCAACAGGCAGUGUCUGGCAAGGCUUCCUUUCAGCGAGACGCUUUGGGUUCAACUUUGCCAAUGGCUAGUGUGAAGCUAAGCCGGCCUGAAGUCACAGGCGCACGAGCCUCGUGAGCCCUGGAGAAGGGCCACGAAGCUCAGGCUGGGGAGGG